This 385-nucleotide ribosomal RNA is filed under the name uncultured Latescibacterota bacterium. RNAcentral describes it as "bacterial SSU rRNA". It matches the Rfam family "Bacterial small subunit ribosomal RNA", at positions 1002 to 1382 of the family's 1533-position model. Lineage: Bacteria; Pseudomonadati; Candidatus Latescibacterota. The record is from RNAcentral.
AGAGUUUUGGGAGUGCUCGCAAGAGAGCCGGAACACAGGUGCUGCAUGGCUUGUCGUCAGCUCGUGUCGUGAGAUGUUGGGUUAAGUCCCGCAACGAGCGCAACCCUUUAUCCCUAGUUGCCAUCAGGUAAAGCUGGGAACUCUGGGGAGACUGCCGGUGAUAAACCGGAGGAAGGCGGGGAUGACGUCAAGUCCUCAUGGCCCUUACAUCCCGGGCUACACACGUGCUACAAUGGCAGGUACAGAGGGCUGCGAAGCCGCGAGGUGGAGCGAAUCCCAGAAAACCUGUCUCAGUCCGGAUUGAAGUCUGCAACUCGACUUCAUGAAGGCGGAAUCGCUAGUAACCGCGAAUCAGCAGGUCGCGGUGAAUACGUUCCCGGGCCUU